UGCAAGUCGAGCGAACAGAAGGGAGCUUGCUCCCGGAUGUUAGCGGCGGACGGGUGAGUAACACGUGGGUAACCUGCCUGUAAGACUGGGAUAACUCCGGGAAACCGGAGCUAAUACCGGAUAGUUCCUUGAACCGCAUGGUUCAAGGAUGAAAGACGGUUUCGGCUGUCACUUACAGAUGGACCCGCGGCGCAUUAGCUAGUUGGUGGGGUAAUGGCUCACCAAGGCGACGAUGCGUAGCCGACCUGAGAGGGUGAUCGGCCACACUGGGACUGAGACACGGCCCAGACUCCUACGGGAGGCAGCAGUAGGGAAUCUUCCGCAAUGGACGAAAGUCUGACGGAGCAACGCCGCGUGAGUGAUGAAGGUUUUCGGAUCGUAAAGCUCUGUUGUUAGGGAAGAACAAGUGCGAGAGUAACUGCUCGCACCUUGACGGUACCUAACCAGAAAGCCACGGCUAACUACGUGCCAGCAGCCGCGGUAAUACGUAGGUGGCAAGCGUUGUCCGGAAUUAUUGGGCGUAAAGGGCUCGCAGGCGGUUUCUUAAGUCUGAUGUGAAAGCCCCCGGCUCAACCGGGGAGGGUCAUUGGAAACUGGGAAACUUGAGUGCAGAAGAGGAGAGUGGAAUUCCACGUGUAGCGGUGAAAUGCGUAGAGAUGUGGAGGAACACCAGUGGCGAAGGCGACUCUCUGGUCUGUAACUGACGCUGAGGAGCGAAAGCGUGGGGAGCGAACAGGAUUAGAUACCCUGGUAGUCCACGCCGUAAACGAUGAGUGCUAAGUGUUAGGGGGUUUCCGCCCCUUAGUGCUGCAGCUAACGCAUUAAGCACUCCGCCUGGGGAGUACGGUCGCAAGACUGAAACUCAAAGGAAUUGACGGGGGCCCGCACAAGCGGUGGAGCAUGUGGUUUAAUUCGAAGCAACGCGAAGAACCUUACCAGGUCUUGACAUCCUCUGACAACCCUAGAGAUAGGGCUUUCCCUUCGGGGACAGAGUGACAGGUGGUGCAUGGUUGUCGUCAGCUCGUGUCGUGAGAUGUUGGGUUAAGUCCCGCAACGAGCGCAACCCUUGAUCUUAGUUGCCAGCAUUUAGUUGGGCACUCUAAGGUGACUGCCGGUGACAAACCG
Molecule: ribosomal RNA, 1125 nt
Filed under: Bacillus sp. 984B6_12ECASO
Lineage: Bacteria; Bacillati; Bacillota; Bacilli; Caryophanales; Bacillaceae
Description: bacterial SSU rRNA
Rfam family: Bacterial small subunit ribosomal RNA
Source: RNAcentral